This 73-nucleotide transfer RNA is filed under the name Hyella patelloides LEGE 07179. Its description in RNAcentral is "Hyella sp. LEGE 07179 tRNA". It matches the Rfam family "tRNA". From Rfam's summary of the family: Transfer RNA (tRNA) molecules are approximately 80 nucleotides in length. The record is from Rfam by way of RNAcentral. Lineage: Bacteria; Bacillati; Cyanobacteriota; Cyanophyceae; Pleurocapsales; Pleurocapsaceae.
GCGAGCGUAGCCAAGUGGUUAAGGCAGUGGUUUGUGGUACCACCAUUCGCGGGUUCGAGCCCCGUCGUUCGCC